Molecule: transfer RNA, 116 nt
Filed under: Colletotrichum orbiculare MAFF 240422
Lineage: Eukaryota; Fungi; Ascomycota; Sordariomycetes; Glomerellales; Glomerellaceae
Description: tRNA-Undet for anticodon ???
Rfam family: tRNA
About the family: Transfer RNA (tRNA) molecules are approximately 80 nucleotides in length. Their secondary structure includes four short double-helical elements and three loops (D, anti-codon, and T loops).
Source: RNAcentral
GGGGCGGUGGUCUAGCUGGUUAUGUCACCCUGCCUUGUAUCGUUAUCCGUAUACCUAGAACCUAUAACCUCUACUUAUAGGCAGGGAGGUCGGUGGUUCGAAUCCAUCCCGCUCCA